CCUACGGGGGGCAGCAGUGGGGGAUAUUGCACAAUGGGGGAAACCCUGAUGCAGCGACGCCGCGUGGGUGAAGAAGUAUUUCGGUAUGUAAAGCCCUAUCAGCAGGGAAGAAAGAAGACGGUACCUGACUAAGAAGCCCCGGCUAACUACGUGCCAGCAGCCGCGGUAAUACGUAGGGGGCGAGCGUUAUCCGGAUUCACUGGGUGUAAAGGGAGCGUAGACGGCCGUGCAAGCCAGGAGUGAAAGCCCGGGGCCCAACCCCGGGACUGCUCUUGGAACUGUGCGGCUGGAGUGCGGGAGGGGCAGGCGGAAUUCCUGGUGUAGCGGUGAAAUGCGUAGAUAUCAGGAGGAACACCGGCGGCGAAGGCGGCCUGCUGGACCGCGACUGACGUUGAGGCUCGAAAGCGUGGGGAGCGAACAGGAUUAGAUACCCCAGU
This 437-nucleotide ribosomal RNA is filed under the name uncultured bacterium. RNAcentral's name for it is "partial 16S ribosomal RNA". It matches the Rfam family "Bacterial small subunit ribosomal RNA", at positions 338 to 791 of the family's 1533-position model. The record is from RNAcentral.